CUCCGCGGUCUUCCGAGCGGUCGCGUGAACUGCUUCCUGCAGGCUGGCCAUGGCGCUUCACGUUCCCAAGGCUCCGGGCUUUGCCCAGAUGCUCAAGGAGGGAGCGAAAGUAAGGGCUGAAGGAAAGGAAUGAGCACUUUUCAGGAUUAGAAGAGGCUGUGUAUAGAAACAUACAAGCUUGCAAGGAGCUUGCCCAAACCACUCGUACAGCAUAUGGACCAAAUGGAAUGAACAAAAUGGUUAUCAACCACUUGGAGAAGUUGUUUGUGACAAACGAUGCAGCAACUAUUUUAAGAGAACUAGAAGUACAGCAUCCUGCUGCAAAAAUGAUUGUAAUGGCUUCUCAUAUGCAAGAGCAAGAAGUUGGAGAUGGCACAAACUUUGUUCUGGUAUUUGCUGGAGCUCUCCUGGAAUUAGCUGAAGAACUUCUGAGGAUUGGCCUGUCAGUUUCAGAGGUCAUAGAAGGUUAUGAAAUAGCCUGCAGAAAAGCUCAUGAGAUUCUUCCUAAUUUGGUAUGUUGUUCUGCAAAAAACCUUCGAGAUAUUGAUGAAGUCUCAUCUCUACUUCGUACCUCCAUAAUGAGUAAACAAUAUGGUAAUGAAGUAUUUCUGGCCAAGCUUAUUGCUCAGGCAUGCGUAUCUAUUUUUCCUGAUUCCGGCCAUUUCAAUGUUGAUAACAUCAGAGUUUGUAAAAUUCUGGGCUCUGGUAUCAGUUCCUCUUCAGUAUUGCAUGGCAUGGUUUUUAAGAAGGAAACCGAAGGUGAUGUAACAUCUGUCAAAGAUGCAAAAAUAGCAGUGUACUCUUGUCCUUUUGAUGGCAUGAUAACAGAAACUAAGGGAACAGUGUUGAUAAAGACUGCUGAAGAAUUGAUGAAUUUUAGUAAGGGAGAAGAAAACCUCAUGGAUGCACAAGUCAAAGCUAUUGCUGAUACUGGUGCAAAUGUCGUAGUAACAGGUGGCAAAGUGGCAGACAUGGCUCUUCAUUAUGCAAAUAAAUAUAAUAUCAUGUUAGUGAGGCUAAACUCAAAAUGGGAUCUCCGAAGACUUUGUAAAACUGUUGGUGCUACAGCUCUUCCUAGAUUGACACCUCCUGUCCUUGAAGAAAUGGGACACUGUGACAGUGUUUACCUCUCAGAAGUUGGAGAUACUCAGGUGGUGGUUUUUAAGCAUGAAAAGGAAGAUGGCGCCAUUUCUACCAUAGUACUUCGAGGCUCUACAGACAAUCUGAUGGAUGACAUAGAAAGGGCAGUAGACGAUGGUGUUAAUACUUUCAAAGUUCUUACAAGGGAUAAACGUCUUGUACCCGGAGGUGGAGCAACAGAAAUUGAAUUAGCCAAACAGAUCACAUCAUAUGGAGAGACAUGUCCUGGACUUGAACAGUAUGCUAUUAAGAAGUUUGCUGAGGCAUUUGAAGCUAUUCCCCGCGCACUGGCAGAAAACUCUGGAGUUAAGGCCAAUGAAGUAAUCUCUAAACUUUAUGCAGUACAUCAAGAAGGAAAUAAAAACGUUGGAUUAGAUAUUGAGGCUGAAGUCCCUGCUGUAAAGGACAUGCUGGAAGCUGGUAUUCUAGAUACUUACCUGGGAAAAUAUUGGGCUAUCAAACUCGCUACUAAUGCUGCAGUCACUGUACUUAGAGUGGAUCAGAUCAUCAUGGCAAAACCAGCUGGUGGGCCCAAGCCUCCAAGUGGGAAGAAAGACUGGGAUGAUGACCAAAAUGAUUGAAAUUGGCUUAAUUUUUACUGUAGGUGAAGGCUGUAUUUGUAGUAGUACUCAAGAAUCACCUGAUGUUUUCUUAUUCUCCUUAAAUUAAGAGUUAUUUUGUGUUUGUAUUCUUGGCUGGAUGUUAUAAUAAACAUAUUGUUACUGUCAAAGC
This 1872-nucleotide unclassified non-coding RNA is filed under the name Homo sapiens (human). Its description in RNAcentral is "chaperonin containing TCP1 subunit 8 (ENSG00000291533.1)". The record is from RNAcentral. Lineage: Eukaryota; Metazoa; Chordata; Mammalia; Primates; Hominidae.